AUGACCCUUCCCGAGUCGAUCAGAGGGUGGCAGUCGACCUGGUUCUACUGCCAAGACCAGUCGAUGCCAGGGCAGUCGACUAGGCUCCAUCCCUUCCCUAUGAGUCAGGUGAACAAGCCAUCCUCUCUGAAAGUAGUUCCGGAGGAGAAGGCUCAGGUAAAAAUGUUGAUGGAGCGAGUAGUCCAGUUGAUUCGUGACGGUGUGACUGGCAUGGACCUUCUGGAGGUUUUCCUUCGGCGGUGCAUCCAACCACUCCAGUACCGGGGCCACCCGAUGUGGCUGUAUUCUGGUACUGAGGACACCUCUCGGGUCCACCCCGAAGAGGUCGACGAUGCCUCACUAGAGAGGUGA
Molecule: ribosomal RNA, 351 nt
Filed under: Triticum aestivum (bread wheat)
Lineage: Eukaryota; Viridiplantae; Streptophyta; Magnoliopsida; Poales; Poaceae
Description: partial small subunit ribosomal RNA
Source: RNAcentral